Long non-coding RNA from Zonotrichia leucophrys gambelii, 1085 nucleotides. RefSeq lists it as uncharacterized. Lineage: Eukaryota; Metazoa; Chordata; Aves; Passeriformes; Passerellidae. The transcript is spliced from 4 exons. The record is from RefSeq and is a predicted model, not a curated record.
ACCAAGGUCUCCUCCUGUUCCAGGUGUGUCACCUUGGUGCCUGUGAGCAGGGAGCAGUGCCUGGCUGCCAUGUGCUGGGGGGGUGGUUCUGUUCUUUCAGAGUUCUGCUCUUUCAGCUCUCUUGGCAGCAUCCUGAGGUUGGUGGUAUUUGCCACCUUCUCCAGGCUGAGCCCAUGCUCUUCCCUGCCAACAAAGCACGGCCUGUGGAUCUCACCAACAUCACCUGUAUUGAUCUGAUACUCCAGAGCUGCCCUGUAAUCCCCAAAUCCUACUGAAUUCACAGCCUAGUGAUGCAGCAAUGUCAAAGGGAUGCAGCUGGUAAUUCUGCCUGGCUGUUAAACUGUCUCAUGUCACCCUGCUUCCAAUGGCUGCUGACAAGGAAAUUAUACCUGGAUCCCUGUAAUCCUAAAUUCAACAUGAAGAAGGGACCUGAAUGCUACUACACAUCUGCCUGCUGAUUUCCAAACCAUCUUAUACAAUUUCCAAAAUAGCUUAUGCAAUAUAUGACCUGGAGAGAAGGCACAUUUUCUUCCAGGAAAGAAAAAGGAAAAAAGGUCAAGCUUUUCUGCCUCCCUCUUCCCAGAGGAAAGAUGGAAUAUGGAGGCUCAAAGGCCUGCCACGGUGGCUACAACAUUUCAACCCUGGAGGGGCAGAAAGAAGCAAGGAAAAACACCCCUCUAAGAUACCCCUGAUGGCCAAGAGACUACCUUUUCCAAAAUGAAAUCUGUCCUGGAAAAAGAUCUCCAGUUUGUGGUAAAAAUAACUAUUACUUCAGAGGCCCAUGGAAAAGCACCUGCCUGGGUAGCAGGAGACUGGCAAAUCACAGAUACAAAAAUGGAUGUGACACCUUCUGUGCAGAACCUCCAUUGGUGACGUUGAGCUGUCCCAUCUUCCCUUUUUCCGUGGAGAACUUUGUAUUAUCUUGAUGUUUAGUGACACAUGGAAGGUAAAAUGGUCUAAAUCUUAAUGAUUCAUGGGAUGGGGACUGUUUGUCAGCUUCAAUAAAUCUGUUAGCCUCUUUGACAGUGAGGAGGGAAGAGCUGUUUUGAAUUCAUGCUAUGUUUUAAAAGUUUCUUUCAAAGAGU